AGGGAGUUGAUGCUGGCUAGGUCUCCUGGCAUGUGCUCGCUCCCGACAAUCUUAUCCAUACACCUGUGCACACUGUGAGGGCGUGAAAGCGCCCUUAUUUUAACAUACACCUUAUAUAGUAAUCGCACGUGAUCUGCGUCUUCUGGCGCUUAAAUGAAAAUACAACUUUUAACAACGGAUCUCUUGGCUCUCGCAUCGAUGAAGAACGCAGCGAAAUGCGAUAAGUAAUGUGAAUUGCGGAAUUCAGUGAAUCAUCGAAUCUUUGAACGCACCUUGCGCUCCUUGGUAUUCCGAGGAGCACGCCUGUUCGAGUGUCGUGAAACUCUCAAGCCUGAUGCUUUAUUGUAUCAGCUUGGUUAUUGGACUCUGCUGUCUCCUUCUCUGGAACGGCUGGUCUCAAAUGAAUUAGCUGGCCCUUGUUGUGGGACUUGGUUCUACUCAGCGUGAUAAUCUAUGACCGCUGAGGACAUCUCUCGGGAUGGCCAGACCUGCCUAGGACUGCUUCUAACUCAUCAUUUUCAUGAUAUUUUUCAACUUUGACCUCGAAUCAGGUGGGACUACCCGCUGAACUUAAGCAUAUCAAUAAGCGGAGGAAAAGAAACUAACAAGGAUUCCCCUAGUAACGGCGAGUGAAGCGGGAUGAGCUCAAAUUUAAAAUCUGGCAGUCUUUGAUUGUCCGAGUUGUAAUCUAGAGAAGCGUUUUCCGCGCUGGACUGUGUACAAGUUUCCUGGAUACGGAACAUCAUAGAGGGUGAGAAUCCCGUCCUUGACACAGACUCCUCAGUGCUCUGCGAUGCGCUCUCGACGAGU
Molecule: ribosomal RNA, 810 nt
Filed under: fungal sp. MX428
Lineage: Eukaryota; Fungi
Description: eukaryotic LSU rRNA
Rfam family: Eukaryotic large subunit ribosomal RNA (bases 538-810)
Source: RNAcentral